UUUUAGCCCCGAUAGUAGUGAAAAUCCUUUUGUUUUUUUCUUUAAAAAAUAAAAGAUUGUAACGGAUAGCGGGAUUAGCU
This 80-nucleotide small RNA is filed under the name Flavobacterium araucananum. RNAcentral describes it as "Flavo-1 RNA". It matches the Rfam family "Flavo-1 RNA". Lineage: Bacteria; Pseudomonadati; Bacteroidota; Flavobacteriia; Flavobacteriales; Flavobacteriaceae. The record is from RNAcentral.